CCUCCCUGUCGCCGCCAGCCAUCCUCCCAGCCCCGCCUCUUUUCCUCCCCACAGCCCCCCUCCUCCAGAGAAGCAGCAGGCCCCGCCCGCCGCGCCGCCGCCGCCGUCGCGCGCGACCCUCCUCUCUCGACGCCCGCUCGCACCGACGCAUCCAGGGCUGCUCUGGCUCGCGUGGCGCCUCCACCGCCGGCAGGAGGGGGCCGCAGCGGCCGUCGUGCGGCCCGACGACCAGGAGCGCCUCGCUUGUCCGCGUCCACGCCUUCGGCGGCUCCUACGCCGACGAGCUCGUCUCCACCGCGGUGAGCGCCCCCACGCUGCCCACCAACCCUGCGCCUGCCCUCCCACUCUGAUCCUCGUAGCCUUGCCUAGGUCUAGGAGCCGGUGGCCCGCGGGAGGAUCUCGCCCGUGAGGCGAUCCACGUCUGCGUCAGCAGCUUGUUGAACUGCGAGUACUCCGGGUACGCCGCCAGGAUCUUGGUGAUGUUGUACCCCUCCGCCGCCGCCGCCAGGGCCAGCACCGCCAGCGCCACCGGCAACGUCCGCCGCCGCGCCUCCAUUAUCCUCUCCUCCUUGGUCGGUGCCGCUGCCGUCGGCGUUUGGAGCUUGGCCGCUAGCGCUGGCCGGGGUCGUUUCAGCUCAGCUCGGGAUGGAGUGGGGCGGAAUGGUGGAGAGCACUGAGCUGAGCUGAGCAGAGCACCACUGAUGGUGUAAUCCUCCUCAUCCACGACGCCCAUCUCCGGCCAUGGCGACCUCGGAUCUCCGGCCCUGGUUGCUCAGAUGUUGCUGCUGCUGCUGCAGGUGGACGUGGUGAGCUCCAUCCCAUCUUUUUACCCUGCUGAAGCACAUACUGAUUAUGUGGAGUUUUUCGAACUGCCUGCUAUAAAGGUCAGGGAAGAAUAGCACAACAUGGAUUCAUAAACCCACGGUGGGUGGAUGGUGAGCUGUUGGUACUCAAUGGCAAGCAUUACUGGUUUUGAUCAACAUGUUGGGACCGCACCCUCGCGCCAAGGUUUAAUGGUUGGUUAUUUCUCCUCUGUUGAACCAUACUCUUUUCCUCGCAGGGCAACCAUAUGUAUGCAGAGAUGCCUAAGAAAUUUGUUAACCAAUUUAUAUGUGUCCUCCAAGAGUGUGGGUUGAUGAUCGUUGCAAGUUUCUGGUCUUUCUCAAGAAGUAUGUCUUCGGGGCGGUGGAGAGUCAAUACAUGAUUAAGUUCACUAGGUAUACAUCUGUUGCAUGGUGGGAGGGUCUAGAAGCAGAAUGUCCUUUCUGCACCUAUGCACUGACUCCAAUUAAUCAGCUCCCAAGGUCUACAAACAUGCCUGAGCGUUUCACAGAUGUGGCUGGGAUUAUCCCAGUUUUCUUCCUUUUUUCAUGUUGGAAUCAGUGACAAUACCUUGCCGGGGUGGGUACCAGGAGAUGAGUCUCGUGGCGGUGAGCGGAAUGGAGACAAGGAUGGCGACUUGAUGCUUCUCAGAGACCUCCUCUGGAGGUGAAUUUUCUGGGCCUUUUGUUUGCUAUUUCACAGAGUUGGAUCUGCAUGCUCAUGUUGUUCUUCAGCUUAUGUCAUGUAGUUUAGGUUCAUAUAUACACUACUUAAUUAGGUUCAGGAGAUGGUUCGCUGUUGGACGUGUGCUAUGGGAUGUUUUGGUGGUCUGAUGCUUUUAGCCACCGCUCUCGUUCAGGAGGUGCUCCUUUAUCUUGACCAUGACUCUGAUUUUUAGUUAGACACCAUGUUUGCAGAUUCAGUUCCAAAGUCAGGGUACUGUUUUUUAUUUUUUGUAAGCAUUAGUGAGCUGAAAUAUGUAGAGUUUGGAUUGGGGAUAUAAGCAUUGUUAAACUAAAGAAGCCUUUCCAUGCUCAGCAUUAUUGGCGACCUCUCUAAUUUGGAGUUGUGAACCAAUGGGAGAUUCAUCGUUUAAUAUUAUUCUUUAAUCACUAAAUCAUAUAGGAGAUUCCUUUGCUGCCCCAUUAACCAAAUAUUAGUGUUACUAAAAAACUGACAAAAUGUUAUUCUGGUUGCGACUGAGCCCUACUGAGGCAAGGUCGCCCCUUUUAACCGCUUACAUCCUCAAUAGGUGAGUCCCUGGCACCCCUCUCUCUAUUGAUUGAUCCAUAUAUCGCCAGGAAAGAAUGGCUAUCAGUUCAACUACUAUUGGACUAUGAAUUAUUGUUUUUUUAGGGAAAUUAAUUACUCCUUGGAGAAUCAUAGAUCCAUGUUCUAUUUUUGUCAUGUAAGUUAGGUUAUAACUAUGUAGUUACAACCACAUAUUCAGAGUUGCAAUAAAAAACAAUUAAUAAUAGAAACAAGUCAAUUAUGCGACUCGGUUGCGUCUUUCCGCAUAUCAAUCUUGGUUUAGGUCAUUUAUUAUUUGAUCCAGUGAUUGUGUUGAUGGCUUAGUUUCUAUUUCUUCAGAAAGGCACAAAUAGGAUCAACCCUAUCCAAUUAAAGUUUAAUCACCUCACAUAUACAUGCUUUUUUUGAAUAUAUAUAGUUGUAUUCAAUUUGGCUAGGAUGUAAUCCCAGUGCUGCUAAAGUUAUUCCCCAAGAAAUCACAUAUUUGCAGUGUUCUUUUUGAAGAAAUGUCUUCCUGCACAAUACUAUGUAUGGCUAGCUGCUAGCUGUUGAUAUAUAUUGAUUUCUGUCAAAGAGAUUGCAGUUAUAUAAACCUUAAUUAGACAUCUUUGAAGGGAGUUUAGCCAUUCCAUAUUUCUCUUUUGGGCAUGUGUUGGCAUGAGAUUAGUACCAGCGACUGUGGUGGCUUACAUGAGAAGUGUUACAUGUCUUGGCAUGGUUUUAUAUAAGCCAGUAACACCGUUUUAUUUUCUGUCUGUCAUGAUUUAUCAGUUUGGUUGUUAUAAAUCUGUUUUUCAUCAAGCUCAUAUCACUGUUUAUUUGAAUUCCUUGCAUUUGUGAUUAGUUGACGGUAUAAGCCUUAUUUAUCAAGUGAAUUUGUAGACUGAUGUACUUGCAGACUAAUAAUAGUAUUGACAUUUGCUUACUAACUAAUGUCUCUGUAGCAGGCUAAUUUGUGUGUUUUUGGUUGUGGCAGACCAUUUUUAGUCAAAUUGAGAAACAACCGCCUUUUUGUCUUGGCCCAUAACCAGCCGUGAAAGACGAGAUGUUUAUGCUGCCCUUCUACCUUCCUCCUUGUCCCUAUUUUUCCCCAUCGCGUGUUGCGCUCUCUGAAGUAAAAUAAACAGGAAACUGUAUGCUGAAAAGUGGGGUGAUAAAUAUCUAGUUACUAGAUUAACUAAAUUUGUGAUCCCAAUAUUGUGAGCAAAAUAGUGAAAUGUCAGGGUUUGCUCUACUGCAAAUUUGCAGUUUACUUGAACUUUGUUGUGAUGAGCAAUUCUGGUCUGACCAAACUAAUAAAUGCAUGUGCUUUCCA
Long non-coding RNA from Triticum dicoccoides, 3388 nucleotides. RefSeq lists it as uncharacterized. The record is from RefSeq and is a predicted model, not a curated record. NCBI's taxonomy places the organism in Eukaryota, Viridiplantae, Streptophyta, Magnoliopsida, Poales, Poaceae. The transcript has 6 exons.